Bos taurus (domestic cattle) is the source of this 1491-nucleotide long non-coding RNA. Lineage: Eukaryota; Metazoa; Chordata; Mammalia; Artiodactyla; Bovidae. The record is from Ensembl.
GCGUCAGGAUGCUGGGCAAGUAGAAUAGAGGCCAGAUGUGGCAAGGGGGCUGGGGGCAAGCUUGGUUCAGGAUGAGAAACGUGGAUUUCACGCAGUAGGCCGUUUCUUUUGGCAUGAGAAUGGCUGUGUUUUAGAAUGGUUAAUUUAGGAGGUGAUACACAGGCUGAAUGGAAUGGAGCCCAAGGGUCACAGAAAAUUACAUCCCAUUUGAUUUGUGCUUAGUGUUGUCUUAUGACUUCAUCUCUUCAACAAGCAAUGGUUGAGUGUGGUUGACAUACAAAGGAAAAAGACGUGCACCUGGCUUACUGCCUAGGAGAUAUGAUGAAAGGUACACAAUUGUGAUGCAAGAUAAAACAGUGUCCGAGUGAGACAGAUGCAGUGGUCAGGAGCUUCAAGGGGAGAGACUGAUAUUACAUCCUGAAAGGGCAAAGCAGGGAGGAAGCUGCAUUUGGAAAGGGCUACCUAACCUAGGGCCGACUUGCCUGCAGGGAACUCCAGGCAAGGGUUAGCAAACAGACUAGGGAGGAAGGAGGAAGAAGAUAGGUCAGGGCUGGGGAAAUGGCAGUGGCUGAGCAGUGAACGGGUCCAGCUAACUUGGCUGCAGCAGGUGCUGGUGGAAAAGGUCACCGAGGUUCAAGGCACUGAUGACCAAAUCAGGUUUGGGCCAGUUCCAUGGUUCUGUGCCAUCAGCCCAUUCACAGGAGGACAAGAAUCACAGCUGAGGAUAAAUGGAACAUGACCCAGCCCCCAAAGGGAAGGUUUUGGAAAGAACUGGUUGACAGUCUCGGACCAGUAGGCUGGUGUUCAGAGAAGGAGUCUAGUCACAAAGAGAAACUAAGGCAGAAGCAGAUAUACCGUGUCUGAGGCAGGCAGCACCAGCGUGUGAUUCCAGACCUCGUGGCUGCCAACAAGGCUUCCAAGCCUGGAAGAGCUCAGGAAGAAUGUAGGACCUUCCUGUAGGUGGUAGUCACUCCCUGCUGUUGGGAUAGCUAGACAAAGGCCAAGCCUGACCUGGGUCUUCAAAGCCGCUCAGGCUUUGAGCUGGCAAAAACCACACUUAUUCACUUAAGCACUGAGCACAGCUAAAUGCCAGGGCGCUGGUCUCUGGGGACGCUGUGGUGAGGAACACAAGUGCUUUCCUUGCUCCCAUGUACUCUGCAAUCUUGAGCAAAGUCAGACAGGAGAGCAUGGAUGGAUACCGGAAGUAAGUUUGACUUGUCAGGAGACAAAGAUCCUGAAGCCCUUUGAAGGCAAGGCUAUAGGGCCUGAAAUUGACGAGCCAGGGUUACCUCCUCCACAAACUGUCCCAGACCACCUUCUUCAGACAAGUCUGCUGGUGUUCUUACAAGAGGACUGGACAUAGAAUCAGGAGCCCUGAGAUCUAGCUUCCUCCUGCCACUGACUUAGGGGAAUUCACCCCAGAGCUGACUGACCCGCUGAGGAUUCUCGGUCUGUGCUUCUGAGCUUUGAUGGACGGCCUGAGAGCUGAGG